RNAcentral lists this ribosomal RNA (460 nucleotides) under uncultured bacterium. RNAcentral describes it as "partial 16S ribosomal RNA". It matches the Rfam family "Bacterial small subunit ribosomal RNA", at positions 338 to 795 of the family's 1533-position model. The record is from RNAcentral.
CCUACGGGUGGCAGCAGUGAGGAAUAUUGGUCAAUGGACGAGAGUCUGAACCAGCCAAGUAGCGUGAAGGAUGACUGCCCUAUGGGUUGUAAACUUCUUUUAUAUGGGAAUAAAAUGUUCCACGUGUGGGAUUUUGUAUGUACCAUAUGAAUAAGGAUCGGCUAACUCCGUGCCAGCAGCCGCGGUAAUACGGAGGAUCCGAGCGUUAUCCGGAUUUAUUGGGUGUAAAGGGAGCGUAGGUGGAUUUUUAAGUCAGUUGUGAAAGUUUGCGGCUCAACCGUAAAAUUGCAGUUGAAACUGGCAGUCUUGAGUACAGGAGAGGUGGGCGGAAUUCGUGGUGUAGCGGUGAAAUGCUUAGAUAUCACGAAGAACUCCGAUUGCGAAGGCAGUUCACUGGACUGCAACUGACACUGAGGCUCGAAAGUGUGGGUAUCAAACAGGAUUAGAUACCCUUGUAGUC